AUCAAAACACCUGUACUGCUAACACGCUCGCCCCAUGACACCUUGUGUCACCCUAGUAUAAUUAUAAUGAGUGCACUUUGGGGUUGUCAUGGUAGCGUUCCAGUAAACUUGUCGGCUUAAAAUGCAUUCUCAUGUACAGAUCUAGAUACAGGAUUGGUAAAGAUUAAUGUCAGUAUUAAACCAUUUAUGUAUGUGUCAGUAAAUAGCUUAGUACAUGUAGAUCUACACUCAUGAUCUGAUGGACAAGAGUUUGGUUCUUUAUGUUACGAGGGCAGAAGGUGUGUACAUGUAGAUGUUGCAAUCUGAGUACAUUCACUAUUGUUAUUACAAUUCUACAGCAGGUAGUGGAGAACAACAUUGUAUUCGUGACAAUGGGGAGAAAAAAUCAGUUGAAUUUGAGGCCACCAUUCCAAAUUGUACAAGGUUCACUCGGUAUCGUGUGGACUCUGACCUAUUGACUCCCUCCAUCAGCCGUUCAAUCACGGACCCUCUUCUGUUUGAUGGCUCACUCAGUUUCUCCCUCCUCACUGACAAGAUUAUACAGAAUACAGUGUCACACUGACUGAU
Long non-coding RNA from Halichondria panicea, 567 nucleotides. RefSeq lists it as uncharacterized. The transcript is spliced from 3 exons. The record is from RefSeq and is a predicted model, not a curated record. NCBI's taxonomy places the organism in Eukaryota, Metazoa, Porifera, Demospongiae, Suberitida, Halichondriidae.